GGUGCUACCGGGUGACCGGAUGCCGAUCUCGAAAACCUGUCCCAGUUCGGACUGGAGUCUGCAACCCGACUCCACGAAGUUGGAUUCGCUAGUAAUCGCGCAUCAGCCAUGGCGCGGUGAAUACGUUCCCGGGCCUUGUACACACCGCCCGUCAAGCCAUGGGAGCCGGGGGCGCCUGAAGUCCGGGACCGCGAGGACCGGCCUAGGGCGAAACUGGUGACUGGGGCUAAGUCGUAACAAGGUAUC
Molecule: ribosomal RNA, 246 nt
Filed under: uncultured bacterium
Lineage: Bacteria
Description: partial 16S ribosomal RNA
Rfam family: Bacterial small subunit ribosomal RNA
Source: RNAcentral